ACGCUCGACACCUACGGGAGUCAGCAGUAGGGAAUCUUCCACAAUGGGCGCAAGCCUGAUGGAGCAACACCGCGUGAGUGAAGAAGGGUUUCGGCUCGUAAAGCUCUGUUGUUGGAGAAGAACGUGCGUGAGAGUAACUGUUCACGCAGUGACGGUAUCCAACCAGAAAGUCACGGCUAACUACGUGCUAGCAGCCGCGGUAAUCUGAGCGGGCUGGCAAGGC
RNAcentral lists this ribosomal RNA (223 nucleotides) under uncultured bacterium. Its description in RNAcentral is "partial 16S ribosomal RNA". It matches the Rfam family "Bacterial small subunit ribosomal RNA", at positions 328 to 539 of the family's 1533-position model. The record is from RNAcentral.